GGGGGGGGGGGGGGGGGGGGGGGGGGGGGGCGGGGCGGGGGGGGGGGGCGGGCGGGGCGGGGCCCGGCGCGCGGGGGGGUGACGCGUAUGCGACCUACCGUGCACAGGGGGAUAGCCCGGAGCAAUUUGGAGUAAGACCCCAUAAUAUUAUUGGAUGGCAGCAUUUGAUAAUUAAAACUGCGGUGGUGCCAGAUGGGCAUGCGUCCUAUUAGCUAGUUGGAGUGGUACCGGCACCCCAAGGCUACGAUAGGUAGGGGUCCUGAGAGGGAGAUCCCGCACACUGGUACUGAGACAGGGGCCAGACUCCUACGGGAGGCAGCAGUGAGGAAUAUUGGUCAAUGGUCGGAAGACUGAACCAGCCAUGCCGCGUGCAGGAAGAAUGCCUUAUGGGUUGUAAACUGCUUUUAUAUGGGAAGAAUAAGGCGUACGUGUACGUUGAUGACGGUACCAUAUGAAUAAGCAUCGGCUAACUCCGUG
This 477-nucleotide ribosomal RNA is filed under the name uncultured bacterium. RNAcentral describes it as "partial 16S ribosomal RNA". It matches the Rfam family "Bacterial small subunit ribosomal RNA", at positions 39 to 507 of the family's 1533-position model. The record is from RNAcentral.